GGUGGCCCGAGAAGAUCCAGGACUUGUAAGCAAAACACAGACAAAGACAAUUCACACAAGGAAGCCACUGCUUAUCCUAGACCAUCUGCAUCUGCUCUCUUCACAUAAGUUUGGGUCUCCAGAAAAACAAACAUAACGAAAAUGAAAACCCGACGAGGUGAUCUGAGAGAGAGCAGGGAAGAAACCCGGUUGUAUAGUGUUCUUAUUUCCACUAAUGCAUACUUAAAUUGCUACAUGGGAA
RNAcentral lists this unclassified non-coding RNA (241 nucleotides) under Hevea brasiliensis (rubber tree). The record is from RNAcentral. Lineage: Eukaryota; Viridiplantae; Streptophyta; Magnoliopsida; Malpighiales; Euphorbiaceae.